GGAGACAUCCUCAAGGAUAGUAAAUGCAAAUCAACAUCAUUGAUGUUGUUAGACACUUUAUAGAUAUUGAAAUCCAAAGCCUAUGAAUGUUCAACAUUCAAAAUCCCAGUACAUGUGCACAUAAAUUGAGGCACUGAGUCAUUGGAACACCCUAACUCUAUCAUCAUGGGAAAUGAGAUAAGAGUUCUAAAGGGUUAAUAUUUCACAUGCUAUAUUGGUUCCAAUGAAUCAAUCAUACAAAGACUACAAAUUGUCGACAUA
Molecule: long non-coding RNA, 261 nt
Filed under: Setaria viridis
Lineage: Eukaryota; Viridiplantae; Streptophyta; Magnoliopsida; Poales; Poaceae
Description: long non-coding RNA (SVIR_LNC011135)
Source: RNAcentral